Molecule: long non-coding RNA, 1789 nt
Organism: Sapajus apella (tufted capuchin)
Lineage: Eukaryota; Metazoa; Chordata; Mammalia; Primates; Cebidae
Exons: 4
Source: RefSeq, a predicted model, not a curated record
CAGCGCGGGGUGCAGCGCCGGCCGCCGGCCCCCGGGCUCGCGCGCGUUGCCAAGCGGCCGUUUCCUUAGCAACCUCGCCCGGGGACUGGGGAUGGAGAAGGGGGGGGGGGAAUUUAAAAAAAAAAGGAAAAGAAAAAAAUAAAGCAAGAAAAAAAGAAAAGAAAGACAAAAAAUAAAUCAGGAGGAACUGUAUGACAAUUAUGCAAACUGAGGGGAAGAGAGAGUAACCGUAGAAUGAAGGCUUUCCUUACUGUCGUAAGCGCUAGAGGGAUGCUUUGCUAGAAAAGUCUCCGUGUCGGGGCUGGGGUGAAGAGAGCUGAGGGGCGCUUUGCCUUCCCUCACCUGUGCGUUUUACCUCACGAGGCACCGUAAGUUUGAAGUCCUCCAAGUUGUGGUCGGCGCCAUCGUGACGCCGGCGACUGGAGCUAUUUUUUUCCUGUAAAUGAGGCACUUUAAUAUAAGCACACUUUUGCACUGUAAAGUGGAAGAGGAUUUGAUAUCGAUGUCUUCCAGGUUUUGGGGUACAUGUGAAGAACAGAAGAACAUGCAGGAUUGUUGCAUAGUCUACUCAACAUGAAGACAAGGAUGAAGACCUUUCUGAAGAUCCACAUCCACUUAAUGAAGAGUAGAUAUAUUUUCUCGUUCUUAUGAUUUUCUUCACAACAUUUUAUUUUUCUUACUUUAAGAAUACAGUAUAAUACACAUAUACACAAAAUGUGUUCAUUACUGUUCAUUUUUACCAUAAAGCUUUUGAUCAACAAUAGGUUAUUCAUGGUUAAGUUUUUAGGGGGUCAAAAGUCAAACAUGAAUUUUCAACUGUAGGAGGAGGUUUGCACCCCUAACCUUUGUGUUAUUGAAGAAUCAACUGCAUAUUGCCUGGCUAAGAGAAUUUCAAACUUGCCUAUUCUAUAUAAGAGGUUAGAAAUUCAGGUGUUAUAUUUGACUCUUCCCUCUACUUCAUUACUCCCAUCUGAUCAAUUAUAAAGUCCUAUUGAUACUAAACUUUAAAUAGAUCCUGAAUUUGCACAAUUCUGUCUUUUUUUGACUCUGCUGCCACUUCUCCUGUUUACACAAUCACCAUUUCUCAAGUAUAUUUUCCUUAUUGACUCCAAAACUUUUUCUGACCCUCUCAAAUUAAACCUAUACUCCCAACUGUAACCCAAGUAAUAAUACUAGCAACAAAUCAGAAAAAAUAUUAUAUGCAGAGAAAUUAAAAUGUCCUCACCACAGUUAUGAUUCCACAUAUGGCUGAGCCCCAGCAUAACUCCAAUAUCCUGUUUUGUUCCUCUCCUUAUACACAUACUGCACAUAGUGUAGUCCUCCAAAUGCUGUCUACCCUUUUUUACCUCCUGGUCUGCCUUAGUUCAUUUAGACUGCUUUAAUAACAUACUAAGAAGUUAUAAAUUGCCAAAAUCUAUUUCGCACAGUUCUGGAGGUUGUAAAGUUCAAGAUCAAGGCACUGGCAGAUAUGUUUCUGAUGAGGGCCCACUUUCUGUAUCAGAAAUUUCACUUUCUUUUUGUAUGUUCACAUGGUGGAAGUGAUGAGGAAUCUCUUUGGGGAUUCCUUUAUAAAGACACUAAUCUCAUUCACAAGGGUGGAGCCCUCAUGACAUAACCACUUCCUAAAGGCCCUACCUCAUUGAGGUUAGGAUUUCAAUAUAUGAAUUUGGAGUUUGAGGGGACAAACACAAAGAUCAUGACAUGAUGUUAUAUUUGCAUGUACUGUUCCCUGUACCUACAUUCCCCACUUAUCACUUGGCUAACCUCCUCUUCAAUUAGAACAUUAUGU